GGGUAACGGGGUGUUAGGGCACGACACCGGAGAGGGAGCCUGAGAAACGGCUACCACAUCCAAGGAUGGCAGCAGGCGCGCAAAUUACCCAAUCCCGACACGGGGAGGUAGUGACAAUAAAUAACAAUACGGGGUUCUUUCGGAUCUCGUAAUUGGAAUGAGUACAAUUUAAAUCUCUUAACGAGGAACAAUUGGAGGGCAAGUCUGGUGCCAGCAGCCGCGGUAAUUCCAGCUCCAAUAGCGUAUAUUAAAGUUGUUGCAGUUAAAAAGCUCGUAGUUGAAUUUCGGGGUUAGUAGGUUGGUCAUGCCUCUGGUAUGUACUGGUCUCACUGAUUCCUCCUUCCUGAUGAACCGUAAUGCCAUUAAUUUGGUGUUGCGGGGAAUUUGGACUGUUACUUUGAAAAAAUUAGAGUGUUUAAAGCAAGCUAACGCUUGAAUACAUUAGCAUGGAAUAAUGAAAUAGGACGUUCGAUCCUAUUUUGUUGGUUUCUAGGAUUGACGUAAUGAUUAAUAGGGAUAGUUGGGGGCAUUAGUAUUCAAUUGUCAGGGGUGAAAUUCUUGGAUUUAUUGAAGACUAACUACUGCGAAAGCAUUUGCCAAGGAUGUUUUCAUUAAUCAAGAACGAAAGUUAGGGGAUCGAAGACGAUCAGAUACC
Molecule: ribosomal RNA, 655 nt
Filed under: uncultured Glomus
Lineage: Eukaryota; Fungi; Glomeromycota; Glomeromycetes; Glomerales; Glomeraceae
Description: SSU rRNA
Rfam family: Eukaryotic small subunit ribosomal RNA
Source: RNAcentral